RNAcentral lists this ribosomal RNA (450 nucleotides) under uncultured bacterium. RNAcentral's name for it is "bacterial SSU rRNA". It matches the Rfam family "Bacterial small subunit ribosomal RNA", at positions 29 to 524 of the family's 1533-position model. The record is from RNAcentral.
AACGAACGCUGGCGGCAGGCCUAACACAUGCAAGUCGAACGCGUGUAGCAAUACACGAGUGGCGCACGGGUGAGUAACACGUGGGAACCUACCCAGAGGUUCGGAAUAACUGCGGGAAACUGCAGCUAAUACCGAAUAUACCCUACGGGGAAAGAUUUAUCGCCUUUGGACGGGCCCGCGUCCGAUUAGCUAGUUGGUGAGGUAAUGGCUCACCAAGGCGACGAUCGGUAGCUGGUCNGAGAGGAUGAUCAGCCACACUGGAACUGAGAUACGGUCCAGACUCCUACGGGAGGCAGCAGUGGGGAAUAUUGGGCAAUGGAGGCAACUCUGACCCAGCCAUGCCGCGUGGGUGACGAAGGUCUUCGGAUUGUAAAGCCCUUUCGGCGGGACGAUGAUGACGGUACCCGCAGAAGAAGCCCCGGCUAACUUCGUGCCAGCAGCCGCAGUAAC